RNAcentral lists this ribosomal RNA (984 nucleotides) under Triticum aestivum (bread wheat). RNAcentral's name for it is "partial small subunit ribosomal RNA". Lineage: Eukaryota; Viridiplantae; Streptophyta; Magnoliopsida; Poales; Poaceae. The record is from RNAcentral.
AUGAUUGGCCCGAUAAGGUACGCCUACAUAGACAUCAUUGCAGUCACAAGCCAUUUCAGAGACAAACUGGGCCAAGGUGGCUAUGGAUCUGUGUACAAGGGUGUGCUAUUCCCAGAAGAUCUCCGUAUUGCUGUGAAAAUGCUACAGAGUAACUCCAGCUGCAAUGGAGAAGAUUUCAUUAGUGAAGUCUCUACCAUUGGCAGGAUCCACCAUGUCAAUGUGGUGCGUCUGAUCGGGUUCUGCUCAGAGGAGAUGAGAAGGGCGCUUGUCUAUGAGUACAUGCCUCGAGGUUCUCUUGACAAAUACAUCUUUUCACCCGAGAAGAGUUUUUCUUGGGACAAGCUCAAUGAGAUUGCUUUAAGCAUUGCUCGAGGGAUCAACUACCUGCAUCAGGGGUGCGAAAUGCAGAUUCUGCACUUUGACAUCAAGCCACACAACAUUCUUCUUGACAGCAAUUUUGUUUCAAAAUUUGCUGAUUUUGGACUUGCCAAACUUUACCCAUGGAACAACAGUUUUGUGCCAUCUAAUGCCUUACGUGGGACUGUUGGAUACAUAGCUCCUGAGAUGAUAUCUGGGAGCUUUGGUGCCAUAUCAAGCAAGUCCGAUGUUUACAGCUUCGGGAUGCUGUUGUUGGAGAUGGCCGGAGGAAGAAGGAACGCUGAUCCAAAUGCGGCGAACUCAAGCCAGUCUUACUACCCAUCAUGGGUGAAUGACAAACUAACUGCUCCAGCGGUGGAUGCGAUAUCUCCAGCUGCUGGCAUGCAUGAAUUGGAGAGGAAGCUGUGCAUCGUUGGAUUAUGGUGCAUUCAGAUGAAGUCACAUGACAGGCCAACGAUGAGCGAGGUCAUAGAGAUGUUGGAAGGUGGCUUUGAUGGUUUGCAGAUGCCUUCCAGGCCAUUCUUCUGCGACGAUGAGCACACCCCUGUCCCGGAUUCUUACCCUUUGUUAUCCGAGCUGACUGAGAUCUCGGAGGAGGAUGAGUAG